CACUUCACCUGUAUCAGUCUCUCCCCUGGCUCCUGUCCACCUGGGUGCUAUGAACCAUAAAUCCCAGUAUAUAAUGGAGCAGCUCAAUCCUCUGCUGGAGGCUCACCUAGGCCAAAAUCAAGGUGUGAGCAAUGCUGUGUGGAAGCUCUGGGGAACACCCCAGUUCAAGCUCCUUCAAGUUGUUGGCUGGAUUCAGCUAUGGGCAGUGCUGUGGCUGAGCUCCUCCUUUGCUGGCUGGUGGCCAGGCCAGGAAUCUCCCUUGAUACAGAAGGCUUCCUGUAUCCCUCAUCCUGUCAUCCCUUUUGUCUCCAAACCAGCAACAGUAGGGGUCCAGUCAGUCCUUCUCAUACUUCAAAUGUCUCUUCCACGUCUCUACUACCUUCUCCUAUCUUUUGAGUCCAGGAUACUUGUCUAUACCACUGGUCAACAGCAGCAGUCUUGGCCUCUUUGCUGAUGACUGCCAUCAGAGCUUCUUGUGACUUCAUAGUUGAAUUUCAGUCAUUUGAUGAGUGGGUGACUGCAUAAAAAGCAUUACAGCCUCUGGAGAAAACACCACCAUAACUAUGGAGAAAAGCAUUAACAUGAGAUUACUAGUAAGCCUUGGACAAUGCCUCUUAACGAAGAUCCAGUCUGAUCCAGUCUGAUCAGAGAAAUCUCAUCUCUAGCCAGAUGAGGAACUAGCACUCAGAGAUGUCAAGCGGCAUAAUCACUGCUCCUCAGUGGCCACAAAUCAGAACUGGGAUUCAAAACUGGAUGUACCUGGCUCCAAGCCAUGACCUUUCUUACCAGCUCCUCGGAUACCCAAGACAGGCCCAGGGCCCCUACCAUGUGGGGACAAGAACUCUCCCUCUCAGAUCAGAACCGCCUCCAUCAUCAACCUGACCCUGGAAACCCAGCUUCAAACACAGAUCCUCUCAUUGCUCCCUCCUGGGAUUGGUGUUCAACCACAAGUUUUAAGACAGAAUUACUCAUUUAGGAGAAAAAGUACAAUUCAAAUUUAUAUAGAGAAGUUACUUAAAGUUACUCCUAACUUGGAUAGUAUCACGAAACAGGAAAUUUUCCCUUGUGAUAAAGAGGGGUCUGGAAUCCUUAGACCAAGUGAUGGUUUCACUGACUCUAUGGAACAUGCAUUCACUUAUUCACUGACACACUCGUCCAGUUGACAAGCACUUACUGAGUCCCUGCUGUGUGUAAGGUAUUAUGCUGAGCGUUGAGGAUACAACAGUAACCAAAUAAUCAAAUAACAGCAACCAAAUAACUGGCUUUUUUGGAAGUGGCAUUCUACUUGUGCAGAUACCUUAGAGCCUAAAAUAUGGAUGGGAAUUUCUUGGAGGGUUUUCAGUAGGGAAGUGACAUGAUGUGCCCAUAAAAGGGUGACGUAUGACCACCAAGAUGAGACUGUCAGUAGGACAUGGAAAAGCAUGAGAAUAGAAGCAGAGAGACCUGUUAGAAGGUAGCUUCAUUAGAUGAUGGUGUCUUAAGCAAGGCUGGUGGCUGUGGCUAUAGUGAGAAGGCAUUGAUUUCAGGAUGUACCAUGAGGGAGAGUCAGAGUCACCAGGGUCUGCUUUUGGACUGAAUGUGAAACGAGAAAACAAGAAAAUCAAGAGAUAGAGGAUUACAGACAGAUGUAACACAAGAAUUCAGUUUGGCACAUGCUUCAGAUACCCACCAAAUCUGAAGACAGCCAGGAUGCUGACCAGAAAGAACUCAGGAGAAGUUCUCUUUUUUUGCUACCAGUAAUGUGAGGAGGCUGGUCAAGAGGACUGUUUUUGAGGAAGUCUAACAGGAAAUUUAACAACGUGUAAAGUGACAAAUACGUAAGGUCAAAAUGUAGCUGUGUAUCUACAGUGAGAUAUCUCCUCACACCUGUCAGAAUGGCCAAGAUUAACAAAAGGAAACAACAGAUGUUGGUAAGGAUGUGGAGAAAGAGGAACCCUCCUACACUUGGGAAUGCAAACUAGUACAGCCACUCUGGACAGCAGUAUGGAAGUUCCUCAAAAAAGUUAAAAAUAGAGUUACCCUAUGGCCCAGCAACUGCACCACAAAGUAUUUACCCAAAGGGUAUAAGUAUACCGAUUUGAAGGAAUCCAUGUACCUCAAUGUUGAUAGCAGCAUUAUCAACAAUAGCCAAACUGUGGAGAAAGCCUAAAUGUCCAUCAACUGAUGAAUGGAUAGAGAAGAUAUGGAGUGUACACAUACACAUACACACUCACACACACUGGAAUAUUACUCAGCCAUCAAAAAGAAUGAAAUCUUGCCAUUUGCCAUGACAUGGAUGGAGCUAGAGGGUAUUAUGCUAAGUGAAAUAACUCAGUCAGAGAAUGACAAAUACCAUGCGAUCUCACUCUUAUGUAGAAUUUAACAAAGAAAACAGAUGAACAUAUGGGGAGGGUGAAAUGAAAAAAGAGAGAGAGAAACAAACCAUAAAAGACUCUUAAUGAUAGAGAACAAACUGAAGGUUGAUGGAGGGAGGUGGGUGGGUGAUGGGCUAGAAGGAGGAUGGGGAUGAAAGAGGGCACUUGUGAUGAGCACUAGGUAUUGUGUGUAAGUGAUGAAUCACUAAAUUCUACCCUUGAAACUACUAUUAUUACAUUCUAUGUUAACUAACUGGAAUUCAAAUAAAAAUUUGAAGAAAGGAAAAAAUAUAGCUAUGUAUCAAUUAUAAAGCUAUUUCUCAAAAUUCUGAACUUGGAGUUUAACUGUAAUAAUUGUUAACAAUUUAGAACUCUGACUUCUCAGAAUAGACUAACACAUCAACUAUGAAGCAAGAUGCAUAUGAUUUGGAUCCAUAACAGAAUUCUCUUGAUAAUAUUAAUUCAUUUCAGACCCAAUACUGGAUCUUCUUCAAUUUAAAAUAUUCUUGGGGGGACGCCUGGAUGGCUCAGUGGUUGAGCUUCUGCCUUCGGCUCCGGUCCUGA
Molecule: long non-coding RNA, 2918 nt
Organism: Canis lupus familiaris (dog)
Lineage: Eukaryota; Metazoa; Chordata; Mammalia; Carnivora; Canidae
Exons: 4
Source: RefSeq, a predicted model, not a curated record